GAAGGUGGCAAGCGUUAUUCGGAUUUACUGGGCGUACAGGGAGCGUAGGCGGUUCGGUAAGCCCUCUGUGAAAUCUUCAGGCUUAACCUGGAAAAGUCGGAGGGGACUGCUGGGCUAGAGGACGGGAGAGGAGCGCGGAAUUCCCGGUGUAGCGGUGAAGUGCGUAGAGAUCGGGAGGAAGGCCGGUGGCGAAGGCGGCGCUCUGGAACGUUUCUGACGCUGAGGCUCGAAAGCGUGGGGAGCAAACAGGAUUAGAUACCCUGGUAGUCCACGCCUUAAACUAUGAAUACUAAGUGUCGGCGGUUUACCGCCGGUGCCGCAGCUAACGCAUUAAGUAUUCCGCCUGGGAAGUACGGCCGCAANGNNG
Molecule: ribosomal RNA, 367 nt
Filed under: uncultured bacterium
Lineage: Bacteria
Description: bacterial SSU rRNA
Rfam family: Bacterial small subunit ribosomal RNA
Source: RNAcentral